AUCUACGGCCAUACCGCCCUCAACGCUCCGAUCUCUGAUCUCAGAGGCUAAGCAAGGUUGGGACUGGUUAGUACUUAGGUGGAAGACUGUCUGGGAAUACCGGGUGCUAUAGGGU
RNAcentral lists this ribosomal RNA (115 nucleotides) under Propithecus coquereli (Coquerel's sifaka). Lineage: Eukaryota; Metazoa; Chordata; Mammalia; Primates; Indriidae. The record is from RNAcentral.